GUGGGGAAUCUUGCGCAAUGGGCGAAAGCCUGACGCAGCCAUGCCGCGUGAAUGAUGAAGGUCUUAGGAUUGUAAAAUUCUUUCACCGGGGACGAUAAUGACGGUACCCGGAGAAGAAGCCCCGGCUAACUUCGUGCCAGCAGCCGCGGUAAUACGAAGGGGGCUAGCGUUGCUCGGAAUUACUGGGCGUAAAGGGCGCGUAGGCGGACAGUUUAGUCAGAGGUGAAAGCCCAGGGCUCAACCUUGGAAUUGCCUUUGAUACUGGCUGUCUUGAGUACGGGAGAGGUGAGUGGAACUCCGAGUGUAGAGGUGAAAUUCGUAGAUAUUAGGAAGAACACCAGUGGCGAAGGCGACUCACUGGCCCAAUACUGACGCUGAGGCGCGAAAGCGUGGGGAGCAAACAGGAUUAGAUACCCGGGUAGUCC
This 425-nucleotide ribosomal RNA is filed under the name uncultured bacterium. Its description in RNAcentral is "partial 16S ribosomal RNA". It matches the Rfam family "Bacterial small subunit ribosomal RNA", at positions 354 to 796 of the family's 1533-position model. The record is from RNAcentral.